GGAGCAUGCGGCUUAAUUCGACGCAACGCGAAGAACCUUACCAAGGCUUGACAUAUAGGGAAAAGUGGCAGAGAUGUCAUGUCCGCAAGGGCUCUAUACAGGUGGUGCAUGGUUGUCGUCAGCUCGUGUCGUGAGAUGUUGGGUUAAGUCCCGCAACGAGCGCAACCCUCGUUCUGUGUUGCCAGCAUUUAGUUGGGGACUCACAGGAGACUGCCGGGGUUAACUCGGAGGAAGGUGGGGAUGACGUCAAAUCAUCAUGCCCCUUAUGUCUUGGGCUGCACGCAUGCUACAAUGACCGGUACAGAGGGCUGCAAUACCGUAAGGUGGAGCGAAUCCCAAAAAGCCGGUCUCAGUUCGGAUUGAGGUCUGCAACUCGACCUCAUGAAGUUGGAGUUGCUAGUAAUCGUAGAUCAGCAUCGCUACGGUGAAUACGUUCCCGGGGCUUGUACACACCGCCCGUCACGUCACGA
This 470-nucleotide ribosomal RNA is filed under the name uncultured Actinomycetes bacterium. RNAcentral's name for it is "bacterial SSU rRNA". It matches the Rfam family "Bacterial small subunit ribosomal RNA", at positions 934 to 1407 of the family's 1533-position model. The record is from RNAcentral. Lineage: Bacteria; Bacillati; Actinomycetota; Actinomycetes.